Molecule: long non-coding RNA, 1168 nt
Filed under: Homo sapiens (human)
Lineage: Eukaryota; Metazoa; Chordata; Mammalia; Primates; Hominidae
Description: non-protein coding lnc-ZSWIM2-15:1
Source: RNAcentral
UUUCCCAGGUUUUAUCCUAGGAUUUUUAUAGCUUUAGGUAAUAAUUUGAGAUUUUAAUCCAUUUUAGUUUAUUUCUUUAUAGGGUGAGAGAUAUGGGUCCAGUUUCAUUCUUCUGCAUAUGCCAAUCCAAUUCCAGCAACAUUUGUCUUACAUGCUUCCACAGAGUUUUCUGUGAGAUAUUUAGCUAUGUGAAAAAGACAAAGUUCACACUGAGACUAAUUUUCUCACAUUUAUACUAUUUAAUUCUGUUUGUGUCACCAUCUGAAUGCUAUUUGAGACCUAAGUCACCUGACACCUGCUAACUGAUACCAUUUUCUUUCCCCACUUAUGUUUUCAUUAAGUGAAAUAACAUAGAUACUUUAAAAAUAGAAUGAGCACAACUUAUUGUAGACUAAAAUCAGAUAAAUGUCACAAAUCAGUAUAUUUAAUCUUAAACUCCUGUCCCCAAAGUACAAGAUGUUUACAACAGAUUUUAUUUCUUUACGAUUGCUUUGACUGUGUAUGGGUAUAAUAUUAAUGUCUUAUUUCUAGUUAUGUUGUUGUUGAUGAUGAUUCUUAUGGGGUAUGUCGACAGGGCACCACUUAAUCUAGAAAAAAAUGAGGGGUGGAGGAUAUAACACUGGAAAUCAUCAGGCUAAGUUAGGAGAAACACAUGAAUAAAAGCCAUCAAAUUCAUGAAAUGUAGAGAGUUCAUGAAGACCUAAUGAAAAAUGUACAUACAUGAAGAAGGAGAAAUUACAUAAUUUAUAUGUUUGCAAACACUGCUUUAAGAUGAGAGAAACUCAGGAGGAGCUUAAACAAAGUGUAGGUUCUUUUUAAGGAGGGAAUGCUCUAGAAAUGGGGCUUUCAGGUGCAACUGUGAAACACACUUGCAAAUAAAGUAAACACAUUGUGACCCUAGAGACAGUAUUAGGGAGGAGACUGAGGGUCUAAACAAAUUAUUGUAGCUUGGGUAUAAAAAUAGUUCUUGAAGUCUGCAAGCACCAGAGUGCUUCCGAGUACUAAUGAAUUCUUCAGUCACUGACUACAGUCAAUUCAGCAAAGUUGCAUAUUCAAGUAAUCUUGAAUGUUCUGGGACUGCUAUUUCUGAUCAUGGUCUCAGAAAAGCAUAGCUCUCUCCUCUGGUACUCAGUGUAACUUGGUCUUGGAGCUGAGCAAUCCAACAGCC